UACGUAGGGCGCAAGCGUUGUCCGGAAUUAUUGGGCGUAAAGAGCUCGUAGGCGGCUUGUCACGUCGGAUGUGAAAGCCCGAGGCUUAACCUCGGGUCUGCAUUCGAUACGGGCUAGCUAGAGUGUGGUAGGGGAGAUCGGAAUUCCUGGUGUAGCGGUGAAAUGCGCAGAUAUCAGGAGGAACACCGGUGGCGAAGGCGGAUCUUUGGGCCAUUACUGACGCUGAGGAGCGAAAGCGUGGGGAGCGAACAGG
RNAcentral lists this ribosomal RNA (253 nucleotides) under uncultured bacterium. RNAcentral's name for it is "partial 16S ribosomal RNA". It matches the Rfam family "Bacterial small subunit ribosomal RNA", at positions 524 to 776 of the family's 1533-position model. The record is from RNAcentral.